This 66-nucleotide transfer RNA is filed under the name Dipodomys ordii (Ord's kangaroo rat). It matches the Rfam family "tRNA". From Rfam's summary of the family: Transfer RNA (tRNA) molecules are approximately 80 nucleotides in length. Their secondary structure includes four short double-helical elements and three loops (D, anti-codon, and T loops). Lineage: Eukaryota; Metazoa; Chordata; Mammalia; Rodentia; Heteromyidae. The record is from Rfam by way of RNAcentral.
GGUGACUCAGUAAGUAGAGUGCCUGCUUUGCAUGCAUGAGGCCCUGGGUUCAAUUCCUCAGCACCA